RNAcentral lists this ribosomal RNA (373 nucleotides) under uncultured organism. RNAcentral's name for it is "partial 16S ribosomal RNA". It matches the Rfam family "Bacterial small subunit ribosomal RNA", at positions 527 to 896 of the family's 1533-position model. The record is from RNAcentral.
GUAGGUGGCAAGCGUUGUCCGGAAUUAUUGGGCGUAAAGCGCGCGCAGGCGGUUUUUUAAGUCUGAUGUGAAAGCCCACGGCUCAACCGUGGAGGGUCAUUGGAAACUGGAGAACUUGAGUACAGAAGAGGAAAGCGGAAUUCCACGUGUAGCGGUGAAAUGCGUAGAGAUGUGGAGGAACACCAGUGGCGAGGGCGGCUUUCUGGUCUGUAACUGACGCUGAGGCGCGAAAGCGUGGGGAGCAAACAGGGAUUAGAUACCCUGGUAGUCCACGCCGUAAACGAUGAGUGCUAAGUGUUAGGGGGUUUCCGCCCCCUUAGUGCUGCAGCUAACGCAUUAAGCACUCCGCCUGGGGAGUACGGCCGCAAGGCUG